This 1495-nucleotide ribosomal RNA is filed under the name uncultured marine bacterium. Its description in RNAcentral is "bacterial SSU rRNA". It matches the Rfam family "Bacterial small subunit ribosomal RNA". The record is from RNAcentral.
GAGUUUGAUCAUGGCUCAGAUUGAACGCUGGCGGUAGGCUUAACACAUGCAAGUCGUGCGAGAAAGUAUCUUCGGAUAUGAGUAGAGCGGCGGACGGGUGAGUAACGCGUAGGAAUCUACCUAGUAGAAGGGGAUAGCCCGGGGAAACUCGGAUUAAUACCGUAUACCUCCUUCGGGAGAAAGAAGGCCUCUCUUUGAAGCUUUCGCUAUUAGAUGAGCCUGCGUAAGAUUAGCUUGUUGGUGAGGUAAAGGCUCACCAAGGCGACGAUCUUUAGCGGGUCUGAGAGGACGAUCCGCCACAUUGGGACUGAGACACGGCCCAGACUCCUACGGGAGGCAGCAGUGGGGAAUAUUGGACAAUGGGCGCAAGCCUGAUCCAGCCAUACCGCGUGUGUGAAGAAGGCCCUAGGGUUGUAAAGCACUUUAAGUUGGGAAGAAAAGUUAUUGGUUAAUACCCAAUAUCUGUGACAUUACCAUCAGAAUAAGGACCGGCUAAUUCCGUGCCAGCAGCCGCGGUAAUACGGAAGGUCCAAGCGUUAAUCGGAAUUACUGGGCGUAAAGCGCGCGUAGGUGGUUUAUUAAGUUGGAUGUGAAAUCCCCGGGCUCAACCUGGGAACUGCAUCCAAAACUGAUUCACUAGAGUACGAUAGAGGGAGGUAGAAUUCACAGUGUAGCGGUGGAAUGCGUAGAUAUUGUGAAGAAUACCAAUGGCGAAGGCAGCCUCCUGGAUCUGUACUGACACUGAGGUGCGAAAGCGUGGGUAGCGAACAGGAUUAGAUACCCUGGUAGUCCACGCCGUAAACGAUGUCAACUAGCUGUUGGAAAACUAUGUUUUUCAGUGGCGCAGCUAACGUAGUAAGUUGACCGCCUGGGGAGUACGGCCGCAAGGCUAAAACUCAAAUGAAUUGACGGGGACCCGCACAAGCGGUGGAGCAUGUGGUUUAAUUCGAUGCAACGCGAAAAACCUUACCUAUACUUGACAUACUUGGAAUGCUUUGUAAUGAAGCAGUGCCUUCGGGAGCCAAGAUACAGGAACUGCAUGGCUGUCGUCAGCUCGUGUCGUGAGAUGUUCCGUUAAGUCGGAUAACGAGCGCAACCCUUACCCUUAUUUGCCAGCGAUUCGGUCGGGAACUAUAAGGGGACUGCCGGUGAUAAACCGGAGGAAGGUGAGGACGACGUCAAGUCAUCAUGGCCCUUACGUAUAGGGCUACACACGUGCUACAAUGGAGAAUACAGACGGACGCUAAGCCGCGAGGUGGUGCUAAUCCUAGAAAAUUCUUCGUAGUCCGGGUUGGAGUCUGCAACUCGACUCCAUGAAGUCGGAAUCGCUAGUAAUCGCGAAUCAGCAUGUCGCGGUGAAUACGUUCUCGGGUCUUGUACACACCGCCCGUCAUACCAUGGAAGUGGAGUGCACCAGAAGUAGAUAGUCUAACCUUCGGGAGGGCGUUUACCACGGUGUGCUUCAUGACUGGGGUAAAGUCGUAACAAGGUAACC